Long non-coding RNA from Theobroma cacao (cacao), 739 nucleotides. RefSeq lists it as uncharacterized. The record is from RefSeq and is a predicted model, not a curated record. Lineage: Eukaryota; Viridiplantae; Streptophyta; Magnoliopsida; Malvales; Malvaceae.
CCUACGCAAACCAUAGCUUCUAUUUCCUCAACUUGGGAUUUCGCUGAUCUUAUUAGGAAGCUUCAUGCAUGGUGACGGGUGAACAACCACUCCAAUCCAUGGAAGUAAACGUUAAGAAAGGUUCAGUGAAACCUUGGCAGUGCAUUAUUGCCGGGGAUAACAAGUAAAAACUAGUACAAUAAAUUGAAGCUCAAUCCAAGCUCUCUUUCCAUUCAAAGUUUGAGUAAAGAGAAAACCGAUGUUAAGAGAAGGUUUGGGAAAUCCCAACCCCAUUUCUGCGGCAGUUCAAGAGUUUCCCCGGGGAAAGCUCCACUAAAUUGAAUUGUUCUCAUCCAAAGCCUGUUUUAUAUGUAGAAAUGCCAAGGUCUGGAGAUAUGGCUACUUUUCACAAGGAGAGGGAUGGAGCUAACUGAGCUGCCCAAUACAGAAUUGAAUGCCAGAUAGCGUUCAAGUUUUGGGGUCGGACUGUUUGGUUUGAACUGGUGUGAUGGCCAUGGUCCAUGGAUCGUAAUUGGCUGCUGCUUGUAGGAAACUUGUAACAUUCCUACUUGUAUCGCAGUUGAUGCUCUUACGAUCUUUCAGUUAAUAUUAUUGGCUUUCAUCUUUCAUUGUCGUCUUCUUUGCCUUCACAUCCUAUCGACGCCUCUGCAAGACCAGUUUGUCGCAAUACCGUUCUGUUCUGUUGUGUUUGUUUUUCUUUCCUGCUUUUAACCAAAUAACAAGACCAGGUUUGUAGUCA